GUCCAAGAACUGAAUUUGGGUUAUGAAUCAUAUGCUUUUGGCAUCAUAAGAUAAUAAUCCUUGUCCUCAAGGCCCAAAUGUUUCAAGCAUGCUUUCACUGAAUAUCUUUUGGGUGGAAAGUCUGUCGACCAAAACUGCAAUCAGGGACAAUAUUAUGCUUUUGCUGGGCAAACUACUUUCCACCAAGUCUCUUGGGUGUGACCUCCUCUUUUUAAUUUUGGAACCCUGAAAAUAAUG
This 237-nucleotide long non-coding RNA is filed under the name Elaeis guineensis (African oil palm). RNAcentral describes it as "long non-coding RNA (EGUI_LNC028834)". The record is from RNAcentral. Lineage: Eukaryota; Viridiplantae; Streptophyta; Magnoliopsida; Arecales; Arecaceae.